CUCGUAGGCGGUUCGGCAAGUCGGAUGUGAAAUCUCCACGCUCAACGUGGAGGGGCCAUUCGAAACUGCCGUGACUUGAGUCCGGUAGGGGAGUGUGGAAUUCCCGGUGUAGCGGUGAAAUGCGCAGAUAUCGGGAGGAACACCAGUAGCGAAGGCGACACUCUGGGCCGGUACUGACGCUGAGGAGCGAAAGCGUGGGGAGCGAACA
This 208-nucleotide ribosomal RNA is filed under the name uncultured bacterium. RNAcentral's name for it is "partial 16S ribosomal RNA". It matches the Rfam family "Bacterial small subunit ribosomal RNA", at positions 568 to 774 of the family's 1533-position model. The record is from RNAcentral.